AAUAGAUACCCGGGUAGUCCACGCUGUAAACGAUGAGGACUAGAUGUUGGUAGGGGAACCUAUCGGUAUCGAAGCAAACGCGAUAAGUCUUCCGCCUGGGAAGUACGGCCGCAAGGUUGAAACUCAAAUGAAUUGACGGGGGCCCGCACAAGCGGUGGAGCAUGUGGUUUAAUUCGAUGCAACGCGAAGAACCUUACCUACCCUUGACAUCCUAGGAACCCUGCAGAGACGUAGGGGUGCCGAAAGGAACCUAGAGACAGGUGCUGCAUGGCUGUCGUCAGCUCGUGUUGUGAGAUGUUGGGUUAAGUCCCGUAACGAGCGCAACCCUUGCCCUUAGUUGCCAGCAUUAAGUUGGGGACUCUAAGGGGACUGCCGGUGAUGAACCGGAGGAAGGCGGGGACGACGUCAAGUCAUCAUGGCCUUUAUGGGUAGGGCUACACACGUGCUACAAUGGGGCGUACAGAGGGUAGCCAACCCGGCGAGGGGGAGCCAAUCUCAGAAAGCGUCUCGUAGUCCGGAUUGGAGUCUGCAACUCGACUCCAUGAAGUUGGAA
RNAcentral lists this ribosomal RNA (553 nucleotides) under uncultured bacterium. RNAcentral describes it as "bacterial SSU rRNA". It matches the Rfam family "Bacterial small subunit ribosomal RNA", at positions 777 to 1331 of the family's 1533-position model. The record is from RNAcentral.